Molecule: ribosomal RNA, 253 nt
Filed under: uncultured bacterium
Lineage: Bacteria
Description: partial 16S ribosomal RNA
Rfam family: Bacterial small subunit ribosomal RNA
Source: RNAcentral
UACGUAGGGUGCGAGCGUUGUCCGGAAUUAUUGGGCGUAAAGAGCUCGUAGGUGGCGGGUCACGUCGGGUGUGAAAGCCCGGGGCUCAACCCCGGGAGGCGGGUGGAUACUGCUCAGCUCGAGUCCGGAAGAGGAGUGUGGAAUUCCUGGUGUAGCGGUGAAAUGCGCAGAUAUCAGGAGGAACACCAAUGGCGAAGGCAGCACUCUGGGACGGUACUGACGCUGAGACGCGAAAGCGUGGGGAGCAAACAGG